UAAAAACACAAAACUCAAGGCAAUUCAAUUUGGCUGUAAAUGGAAGAACAGGCUCCAUUAUCAUCUCAUCUCCAUAACAGCUGUAAAUAGAAGAACAGGCUCUGUAUUGCUUCAUUAUCAUCUCAUCUCCAUAUAGAAGAACAGGCUCUGUAUUGCUACAUUAUCAUCUCAUCUCCCCCUGUAUGGGCAUUCUACUGUAGAAGCAUGGGGCGGCAGGGUAGCCUAGUGGUUAGAGCGUUGGACUAGUAACCGGAAGGUUGACCAGGUACAAAUCUGUCGUUCUGCCCCUGAACAGGCAGUUAACCCACUGUUCCUAGGCCGUCAUUGAAAAUGAGAAUUUGUUCUUAACUGAAUUGCCUAGUUAAAUAAAGGUUAAAAAAAUAAUAAUAAAAAAAGACAUGUAGUGACGAAUCCCCCUGUAUGGACAUUCUACUGUAGAAGGAUGACAUGUAGUGACGAAUCCCCCUGUAUGGACAUUCUACUGUAGAAGGAUGACACGUCGUGAGGAAUCCCCCUGUAUGGACAUUCUACCAUAGAAGGAUGACACAUAGUGAGGAAUCCCCCUGUAUGGACAUUCUACCGUAGAAGGAUGACACGUAGUGACGAAUCCCCCUGUAUGGACAUUCUACUGUAGAAGGAUGACACGUAGUGAGGAAUCCCCCUGUAUGGACAUUCUACCGUAGAAGGAUGACACGUAGUGAGGAAUCCCCCUGUAUGGACAUUCUACCGUAGAAGGAUGACACAUAGUGAGGAGGUAGUGAGGAAUCCCCCUGUAUGGACAUUCUACCGUAGAAGGAUGACACAUAGUGAGGAGGUAGUGAGGAAUCCCCCUGUAUGGACAUUCUACCGUAGAAGGAUGACACAUAGUGAGGAGGUAGUGAGGAAUCCCCCUGUAUGGACAUUCUACCGUAGAAGGAUGACACAUAGUGAGGAGGUAGUGAGGAAUCCCCCUGUAUGGACAUUCUACCGUAGAAGGAUGACACAUAGUGAGGAAGUAGUGAGGAAUCCCCCUGUAUGGACAUUCUACCGUAGAAGGAUGACACAUAGUGAGGAAGUAGUGAGGAAUCCCCCUGUAUGGACAUUCUACCGUAGAAGGAUGACACAUAGUGAGGAAGUAGUGAGGAAUCCCCCUGUAUGGACAUUCUACUGUAGAAGGAUGACACAUAGUGAGGAGGUAGUGAGGAAUCCCCCUGUAUGGACAUUCUACUGUAGAAGGAUGACACAUAGUGAGGAGGUAGUGAGGAAUCCCCCUGUAUGGACAUUCUAGUGAAGUUCUACAUUGAAUGUGUUGUUUUUUAAUGUCGGAACAGCGUGAGAU
Oncorhynchus keta (chum salmon) is the source of this 1318-nucleotide long non-coding RNA. RefSeq lists it as uncharacterized. The record is from RefSeq and is a predicted model, not a curated record. The transcript is spliced from 3 exons. NCBI's taxonomy places the organism in Eukaryota, Metazoa, Chordata, Actinopteri, Salmoniformes, Salmonidae.